RNAcentral lists this ribosomal RNA (206 nucleotides) under Clostridioides difficile. Its description in RNAcentral is "partial 23S ribosomal RNA". It matches the Rfam family "Bacterial large subunit ribosomal RNA", at positions 1189 to 1402 of the family's 2925-position model. The record is from RNAcentral. Lineage: Bacteria; Bacillati; Bacillota; Clostridia; Peptostreptococcales; Peptostreptococcaceae.
UACUACCGAAGCUACGGCAUCAGUAAUGAUGGGUAGGGGAGCUUCCCAUACGGGUUGAAGCAUGACCGUAAGGACAUGUGGACAGUAUGGGAGUGAGAAUGUUGGCAUGAGUAGCGAGAUGUGGGUGAGAAUCCCACAGGCCGUAAACCCAAGGUUUCCAGGGGAAGGUUCGUCCGCCCUGGGUUAGUCGGGACCUAAGCUGAGGC